UAGGGAAUCUUCGGCAAUGGACGGAAGUCUGACCGAGCAACGCCGCGUGAGUGAAGAAGGUUUUCGGAUCGUAAAGCUCUGUUGUUAGAGAAGAACGCUGGUAGGAGUGGAAAAUCUACCAAGUGACGGUAACUAACCAGAAAGGGACGGCUAACUACGUGCCAGCAGCCGCGGUAAUACGUAGGUCCCGAGCGUUGUCCGGAUUUAUUGGGCGUAAAGCGAGCGCAGGCGGUUCUUUAAGUCUGAAGUUAAAGGCAGUGGCUUAGCCAUUGUACGCUUUGGAAACUGGAGGACGUGAGUGCAGAAGGGGAGAGUGGAAUUCCAGGUGUAGCGGUGAAAUGCGUAGAUAUAUGGAGGAACACCGGUGGCGAAAGCGGCUCUCUGGUCUGUAACUGACGCUGAGGCUCGAAAGCGUGGGGAGCAAACAGG
This 429-nucleotide ribosomal RNA is filed under the name Bacillota bacterium. Its description in RNAcentral is "Firmicutes bacterium partial 16S ribosomal RNA". It matches the Rfam family "Bacterial small subunit ribosomal RNA", at positions 355 to 776 of the family's 1533-position model. The record is from RNAcentral. Lineage: Bacteria; Bacillati; Bacillota.